UUCAGCAAAGAGUUACCCAAUACUAUGUUCUAGAUGAUAUAUGUCACUUAAAGCAAGAUAAUUUUAUAUACCCUAGAUCAUUUAAUCAUACAUAUCUGGGCGUUGGAGUAUAAUAUUUUCUAUAAAAAAAGAUGUAAGCAGAAAAUACAAUAUUUUUUUUAUUUAAAGAUUUUUUUUUAACAUGUUAACAUAUUCAACUUGUUAAUUUUGAAAGGAUUCAAUGAGAGGGUUCAAUGGUUAAUUUUUUGAAAAGACACAACUCAUUAAGGAAUAAAAAUGUCUCUACUUAAGUGAUUGAAUUUUAUAAGGUUCUUGUUGUGAAAUGGUUCAAUGGCUAAGCUUUUGAAAAUAUACAACCUUUCGGUUAUGAAGCAUG
RNAcentral lists this long non-coding RNA (376 nucleotides) under Brassica napus (rape). RNAcentral describes it as "long non-coding RNA (BNAP_LNC019500)". Lineage: Eukaryota; Viridiplantae; Streptophyta; Magnoliopsida; Brassicales; Brassicaceae. The record is from RNAcentral.